AAGCCAGCGUGGGAAAUGGGUCCGACGUGUGCUGCAUGGUGAGCAGCGCUGCCAGGCUGCCGCUGGGCCGGGAAACCUAGCUUUGCUCCCUCCCCCAUCGGUCGCCAGUUCCGACCUUUCCGCCAGAGCAGCCAAGAAGUGGCAGCUCCUUUGCCCCGCAGAGCGAUUCCUGUUGAAGAGAAUGGAAUGGGUGGGAAGCGGGUGAAGGGAGGUAAGGGAGGGACCCUCCCUGCGCCCUUGUGGCGGCCUCAGCUCCCUAUCCUCUUCCGCCCCCUGUCUGGGCUCUGACACCGUCCCUCCAGCCUCCAGCGGGUGGGGUGCACUGGGUGAAUGAAGGCGAGCAGCAGUUUCCCCCACCCCCACCCCAUUUCCGCAGUCUUAGUGCCAGUGUCACAAGUGCUCAGCAAUUUCAUUAAAUGGAACCCGGGGACUUAAUCCUCCCAGUAGCAGACCUCACCAGGGGAAUGUGAUAUCCGGAUUCGCUCCCACCCACAGACCCCACCCGGCCUCUCAGACCCCAGGCUGCUUUUAUCUUCUCAACCUGAGAGGCAAGGUUCACGAGGAAAUGGGAUCAAAAAGUGUAACCGGUUGCAAGAAUUUAAACAGUUUGCCCUUGCUUCUGCUGCUGCCGCCGCCGCCGCCGCCACAGCCAUGGCUUGUCUGGCAGACAAAACCGAAAAGGAGUAGUGUUCGAAAGCCUACAUUGAUCAGUAACGGGACGUCAUCAAAUGGAGGAAGCAAAAUGUUUGAGGAAAUAUAGAAAUGUUUGCAAGUCCCGUUUCCUUCCUUUGUUGAUGUUUAAAAAGAAAUUUCCCUCGAUAAACCUAGAUAUGAACUAAACCAGAUACAAAAACGAAAUUGAUUAAAAUAAAAUAUCCCGUACCAAUAAUUGUCUAAUAAAAAAGCUGGAUUACUUUUCUUUGCCAAACAUCGUCGCCCAAACUGAACAAUUCAAAUGCUUUUACAGUUAAGAAUGUCGGGGACGGAGCAGAAAAAAAGAAUAGUUUUCGGGCCCUGAUAUAGCUUGAGCCUUUUAAAAGAAGACUGAACAAAAGUAAGGACAACAAAAGUUUACGUUGAGCCUACGAAACUAGUGCCAGAGGCGGAGUCUCGGGGUUAGGAGGCCUUCAUUUAUAAUAGACGUUCUAUUAUUCACACGAAUACGAGAAAAAGGUUAAAUACAGUAAACAUGAUAGCCAGUCCUGGAAAGAAAUACAAAGCGGGUACAAGGGAAAAGGAGAAAGUGACUCAAGAACUCCACCAAGGGACAAACAGAGGAAAUGACACCCAGCAUCUCCAAAUGCUUUGACCUUUCAUCCUCAAAGAAAGGUUGUCUUCCAGACUUUUCUACAGCUAAUUCUCAGCAUCGUCUCCAAUUGACUGUACUUAAAAAGAGAAGAAAGAACCUAUUCCUAUAGUGUUAUAAACUAAAAGACGGACUUAUAAGAUGCAAAGAGCCCUCAUCCAGUGGCUGAUGGAAGCACAGUCAGACAUCUACAGCAAAACACUGAACUGAACUCUGGAACCCAGUUGCAGAAAAGGAGGAGUGAAGAACAAAGAGGUGGGGACCAGGCUGAUGAAACCCACAGAAACAGCUGACCUGAACAAGGGGAGCACAUGGAUCUCAGAUUAAAGUCUGGGAGGCCGUCAUGGGACUGAUCCAGACCCCUGAACAAGGAUGUUAAUGAGGAGGACUCAGUACUCUGUGGAUCAGUAUUUAUCCCUGGUGUAAGAAGGGACUUUGAGAGCCCACCCCACAUGGAGGGAUGCUUUCUCAGCCUGAAUACAUGGGGGGAGGGCCUAGGCCCUGCCCAGGAUGAUAUGACACACUUUGGGGAACCCCCAUGGAGGGCCUUACCUUCCCUGGAG
This 1869-nucleotide long non-coding RNA is filed under the name Cricetulus griseus (Chinese hamster). RNAcentral's name for it is "lncRNA (ENSCGRG00015029110.1)". The record is from RNAcentral. Lineage: Eukaryota; Metazoa; Chordata; Mammalia; Rodentia; Cricetidae.